Molecule: ribosomal RNA, 1482 nt
Filed under: metagenome
Description: bacterial SSU rRNA
Rfam family: Bacterial small subunit ribosomal RNA
Source: RNAcentral
AGAGUUUGAUCCUGGCUCAGGACGAACGCUAGCGGGGGGCUUAACACAUGCAAGUCGAGCGAGAAAGUUAUCUUCGGAUGAUGAGUAGAGCGGCGAACGGGUGAGUAACGCGUAGAUAAUCUGCCCUUAGGUAGGGAAUAACACACCGAAAGGUGUGCUAAUACCGUAUAAUAUUUUAUCUCCACCUGGAGAAUAAAUCAAAGGCUUCGGCCGCCAAAGGAUGAGUCUGCGUCCCAUUAGCUUGUUGGUAAGGUAACGGCUUACCAAGGCUACGAUGGGUAGCUGGUCUGAGAGGAUGAUCAGCCACACUGGGACUGAGAUACGGCCCAGACUCCUACGGGAGGCAGCAGUGAGGAAUAUUGCACAAUGGACGAAAGUCUGAUGCAGCCACCCCGCGUGCAGGAUGAAGCCCUUGCGGGUGUAAACUGCUUUUAGGUGAGACGAGCACUACUGUUUUGCAGUAGUUCGACGGUAUCGCCAGAAGAAGCUCCGGCUAACUCCGUGCCAGCAGCCGCGGUAAUACGGAGGGGGCGAGCGUUGUCCGGAAUCACUGGGCGUAAAGCGCGUGUAGGCGGGAUAGUAAGUCUGAGGUUAAAUGCUGGGGCUCAACCCCAUGUCUGCCUUGGAAACUGCUGUUCUUGAACAUGGGAGAGGGAAAUGGAAUUCCUGGUGUAGCGGUGGAAUGCGUAGAUAUCAGGAAGAACACCGGUUGCGAAGGCGAUUUCCUGGUCCAUUAUUGACGCUGAGACGCGAAAGCGUGGGUAGCAAACAGGAUUAGAUACCCUGGUAGUCCACGCCCUAAACGAUGAUUACUAGGUGCUGGGAGAUUCGACCCCUUCAGUGCCGCAGCUAACGCAUUAAGUAAUCCGCCUGGGGAGUACGAUCGCAAGGUUGAAACUCAAAGGAAUUGACGGGGGCCCGCACAAGCGGUGGAGCAUGUGGUUUAAUUCGAUGCAACGCGAAGAACCUUACCUGGGCUUGAACUGCAGUGGAAAACUCUUGAAAAAGAGUCCUCCUUCGGGACCGCUGUAGAGGUGCUGUAUGGCUGUCGUCAGCUCGUGUCGUGAGAUGUUGGGUUAAGUCCUGUAACGAGCGCAACCCUUACCGUUAGUUGCCAUCAGGUUAUGCUGGGCACUCUAGCGGGACUGCCGGCGUUAAGCCGGAGGAAGGCGGGGAUGACGUCAAGUCCUCAUGGCCCUUACGUCCAGGGCUACACACGUGCUACAAUGGAUGGUACAAAUGGUCGCAAUACCGCGAGGUGGAGCUAAUCUGAAAAAACCAUCCUCAGUUCGGAUUGUAGUCUGCAACUCGACUACAUGAAGCCGGAAUCGCUAGUAAUCGUGGAUCAGCACGCCACGGUGAAUACGUUCCCGGGCCUUGUACACACCGCCCGUCACACCAUGGGAGUCGGGGGUACCCGAAGUCGUGGUUGUCCCACGCCGAAGGUAAACUUGAUGACUGGGGUGAAGUCGUAACAAGGUA